This 434-nucleotide long non-coding RNA is filed under the name Androctonus crassicauda. Lineage: Eukaryota; Metazoa; Arthropoda; Arachnida; Scorpiones; Buthidae. The record is from RNAcentral.
GUUUCUAUGUAGCAUAGACAUAUAUUCCAAUUAAGAUUCAAAAACUCAUUUUAAACAAUAUAUAUGUACGUCAUUUGUAUUGCGGUAGAAACUUCUUUCAUAUUUUCUUUUCAGUUAGUACUGCACCUAGAGAAUUUCGAGGUCCCAAUCCUAACACAAAAAUGUCUCGAAAUAAAAAGAAAAAAUUACGCAAAAAAGCUAAACGCCAACAAGAACUAUUAGAAAUGCAGAUGCAACAAUUAGAAGAAUUAGAAAUGGAAGAGCAUUUACAGAACAAAAUGCAUGAAACAGAAGAUAGAGAUGAAGAUGAAGAAACUACUCCAGAAGAAGACAGAAGGUUUAAUGGUAGUUCUGAAACAAAGAAUCCUGGUCACAAAGGCAAGAAAAAAUUUAAAAAAUUUUAUAAUAAUUAUAUUUUCUCUUUUAAUUACUAU